GACGAACGCUGGCGGCGUGCUUAACACAUGCAAGUCGAACGGAAAGGCCCUGCUUUUGUGGGGUGCUCGAGUGGCGAACGGGUGAGUAACACGUGAGUAACCUGCCCUUGACUUUGGGAUAACUUCAGGAAACUGGGGCUAAUACCGGAUAGGAGCUCCUGCUGCAUGGUGGGGGUUGGAAAGUUUCGGCGGUUGGGGAUGGACUCGCGGCUUAUCAGCUUGUUGGUGGGGGAGUGGCUUACCAAGGCUUUGACGGGUAGCCGGCCUGAGAGGGUGACCGGCCACAUUGGGACUGAGAUACGGCCCAGACUGCUACGGGAGGCAGCAGUGGGGAAUAUUGCACAAUGGGCGGAAGCCUGAUGCAGCAACGCCGCGUGCUGGAUGGCGGCCUUCGGGUUGUAAACCGCUUUCGCCUGUGACGAAGCGUGAGUGACGGUAAUGGGUAAAGAAGCACCGGCUAACUACGUG
Molecule: ribosomal RNA, 468 nt
Filed under: uncultured bacterium
Lineage: Bacteria
Description: partial 16S ribosomal RNA
Rfam family: Bacterial small subunit ribosomal RNA
Source: RNAcentral